RNAcentral lists this ribosomal RNA (228 nucleotides) under uncultured bacterium. RNAcentral describes it as "partial 16S ribosomal RNA". It matches the Rfam family "Bacterial small subunit ribosomal RNA", at positions 568 to 796 of the family's 1533-position model. The record is from RNAcentral.
UGCGCAGGCGGAAUAUUAAGUCAGUGGUGAAAUCCUACAGCUCAACUGUAGAACUGCCAUUGAUACUGAUAUUCUUGAGUAUAGUUGUAGUGGGCGGAAUAUGUCAUGUAGCGGUGAAAUGCUUAGAUAUGACAUAGAACACCGAUCGCGAAGGCAGCUCACUAAACUAUAACUGACGCUCAGGCACGAAAGCGUGGGGAGCAAACAGGAUUAGAUACCUGGUAGUCC